Molecule: unclassified non-coding RNA, 279 nt
Filed under: Hevea brasiliensis (rubber tree)
Lineage: Eukaryota; Viridiplantae; Streptophyta; Magnoliopsida; Malpighiales; Euphorbiaceae
Source: RNAcentral
CUGAAACUUAAGGGAAAAGCCUUGAAUGUGAAGCCCGGUGGACUGAAGAAAAAAAAGAAACAGAAGAAACACCAAGAUCAAGUUUCUCAAGUCUUGGAAAAUGAGCUUUCUGCAGAGGGAAACACAGAAGAGCUAACCGUCACUGGUGAGGAUGUUGUAAAUGACAAUGGCAAAUUGAGUGAAGAAGGGAAUGCGGCUCCUUAUGAUGAUCAUCUGACACCUGCAGAGAGACGAUACAUAGAGCAGAGAGAGAAAAUUGAUCUCCAUAGGAUGGCCAAA